RNAcentral lists this long non-coding RNA (720 nucleotides) under Chlamydomonas reinhardtii. Its description in RNAcentral is "long non-coding RNA (CREI_LNC000122)". The record is from RNAcentral. Lineage: Eukaryota; Viridiplantae; Chlorophyta; Chlorophyceae; Chlamydomonadales; Chlamydomonadaceae.
AGCACAGCUGAUGGUGCGCUCCAUCAACCACUGGUGAUGCGCCGUACGUCCUCGGCUGGAGCGGUCAAGGCGGGGGAGCCCAAUCGAAUGGACUAGUGCACCAUUAAUCUUAACGCUCCAGUGGACAUGCAUCCACUAAUGCUUGGCAGCUAUGAUUCCCACGUAUGAUUCCAUUUAUUAUGAUUCAUUACUCGCCCCUACAUCGCGGGGCAUGGGGUUUUGGGAGCGUGCUGGUGUGAACGUGUGUGCGCUGCCCAUGCGCACAACGCGGACCGGACCAUCAGACAUGGAAAGUGGCAGGUCCAUUCAAAGGACGUCCUGUAGAUAGAACACGGGCAUUAGAUGUGAGCCUGAACUGUGGUUUCAUGGAGACAGCUUCCAUAAUAGUACACAUGUAAGUAACUGGCGAUCGUGUGUUGCUCGACAACAUGGCUCCCGUCCACAUUGCAGCCCCACUUCGCGUUCAUGCCCGCCUGACAUCCCCAUAACGUUCCACCGUCUCUACCUCAGCCCGUCCUGGCCCGUCCGGCUCCGCUGUUUCAUGUCUGCAACUCGCCUCUCAAGAAUGCGCCCCAUGAGCAACCCCCAUGAGCGUGACGAAGCGAAGGGGAAGCCGAGGCGAGCUGGGGAAAACGCGCACGGCACGGUAAUCCUCAACGACUGUGACCACAACAGUCAAAGAUGUGACAGCGCCGAAGCGCCGAAUGGUUAAGCAUUUAG